This 497-nucleotide ribosomal RNA is filed under the name uncultured bacterium. Its description in RNAcentral is "partial 16S ribosomal RNA". It matches the Rfam family "Bacterial small subunit ribosomal RNA", at positions 28 to 507 of the family's 1533-position model. The record is from RNAcentral.
GAUGAACGCUGGCGGCGUGCCUAAUACAUGCAAGUCGAGCGAACGGACGAGAAGCUUGCUUCUCUGAUGUUAGCGGCGGACGGGUGAGUAACACGUGGAUAACCUACCUAUAAGACUGGGAUAACUUCGGGAAACCGGAGCUAAUACCGGAUGAUAUUUUGAACCGCAUGGUUCAAAAGUGAAAGACGGUCUUGCUGUCACUUAUAGAUGGAUCCGCGCUGCAUUAGCUAGUUGGUGAGGUAACGGCUUACCAAGGCAACGAUGCAUAGCCGACCUGAGAGGGGGAACGGCCACACUGGAACUGAGACACGGACCAGACUCCUACGGGAGGCAGCAGUAGGGAAUCUUCCGCAAUGGGCGAAAGCCUGACGGAGCAACGCCGCGUGAGUGAUGAAGGUCUUCGGAUCGUAAAACUCUGUUAUUAGGGAAGAACAUAUGUGUAAGUAACUGUGCACAUCUUGACGGUACCUAAUCAGAAAGCCACGGCUAACUACGUG